This 253-nucleotide ribosomal RNA is filed under the name uncultured bacterium. Its description in RNAcentral is "partial 16S ribosomal RNA". It matches the Rfam family "Bacterial small subunit ribosomal RNA", at positions 524 to 776 of the family's 1533-position model. The record is from RNAcentral.
UACGAAGGGGGCUAGCGUUGCUCGGAUUGACUGGGCGUAAAGGGCGCGUAGGCGGUUCGUCCAGUCCGACGUGAAAUUCCUGGGCUCAACCUGGGGGCUGCGUUUGAUACGUGCGGACUUGAGUGCGGAAGAGGGUCGUGGAAUUCCCAGUGUAGAGGUGAAAUUCGUAGAUAUUGGGAAGAACACCGGUGGCGAAGGCGGCGACCUGGUCCGAUACUGACGCUGAGGCGCGAAAGCGUGGGGAGCAAACAGG